CCAUAUUUUUCAUACUGAAAUUCACAACUACUCUUUUAUAUAAUCACCUCAUAGUAUACAAUGCAAUAUUAUUCUCAGGGGUCUGAUCUAACCCUUAUCCACAUAUAAUCAAGGUCUAACAAAACAGGAUGGGAUCUCAGUCCUCAUCCGGGUCAUACUGGAUAUCCUCUUCAUGGUCAUCUUCUUCUCCAUUAUCUUCAUUCUCAUUUAGUUCUACAUCAUGGUUCUAAAUCAGGGUUCUCCUCUUCAAAUUCCUCCACCUCAGGCUCCUCAUCAGAGUCUUGAAAUGGUUAUUAAAUAACCUUGAGAUCACGUCUCAGCAAGUUCUACCCCCUAAGACCCGAUUAGUAAACUAAUACACCUUAGGGCUGCCUAUGCACAACAUGAGUUAGGGGACUUACCUUGGUCUUAGAUUCCACUUGCAUAUUAGCACAGAUCAAAUAGGCAUCCAAGCAAUUACAUCACUGAUCGAAGUAUUGAUCAAAUCGACCGAGUCGAUUACACGCCAACAAGACCACUCAUGGUCAUUUCCAUUCAAUCAAUCAAUUCACAACAGCAAAUCAAAGUAAUGAUCAAUCGACCUAGUCGAUUUCAUAUCAAUCAGACCAUACAUUCCCCACAAUGGAAUAAUCAGUCGUCGAGCCUACAUGGAUACUUCAGGAUGACAUCCCAAGUCCCCGAGUUCACGUGCUCCUUUUCCAAGACGACAUACUUACUCACUAGGCCCACGUGCAUUCUCUUAGGCGACCCUUUUUGCCAAGGUGAUGCAUCGAUUCACCGAGCCACGUGCCCUUUUUACAAUGCCCUAGCCCACGUGCCUUCUCUUAGGUGCUAACUCACCAAAGUGAUGCAUCAAUUCACUGAGCCCACGUGCCCAUUUUACGAUGCCAACUCUGUCACCGAGCCACGUGCAUUCUCUAGGAGAACAUACCGAGUCUUCGAGCCAUGUGCAUUCUCUAAGGUUACAUUUUCGCCAAGGUGACAUAUCCAAUCACCGAGCCACGUGUCCUUCCCCAGUGACACUCCAGUUCAUUGGGCCAUGUACAUUCUCUAGGUGAUUUACCAACUCACUUUCGAUACUGAUAACCGAUACCCGACCAAUCCUCAAUCACAUAGCCAAAAUUGAAUUAUUUAAGAACAUAACUUCAAAAUGCCCCAUUAAAUCAAUUCGACAUGAAUUAAAGCUCAAAUAAAUCAACGGACUACUCCACGACAAUCAACAAGAAAUUGCGGUCACCGGCCAUCCUGGUUGAAUUUCCGGAAAAUAAAUAAUUAAAUAAUUAAUUUCGAAAAUUAAAUAAAUAAACACAAUAAUUCCAAUUUGGCACAACGUAAAGCUCAAUUAAAUAAAUGGACUAUGCCAUGAUCAUCAGCAUAAAAUCCCGAUCACCGGCCAUCCUAGUUGAAUUUCUGGAAUAUAAAUAAUUAAAUAAUUAAUUUCAAAAAUUAAUAUUUAAUUCCUAAAAAUUCCAAUUAGGCCCGAAUUGCCUAAUUAACACCUUAACAACUGAUAAGGGUCAGGAAAAUCCUAAGAAGCAUCCAAUAAGUACUAUAGGUAAUUCUCUAUCUAAAGUACACUAACCAAACAACUAAUAUGCAAUGAAAUUAAUUAAUAAUCGCUAAUCCAUUAUAAUUUAACCACCUAAUUACUCUUAAUUAAAUCUAAUCAACCUUUUUAAGUAUAAUUAGCAAACUAAGAAGGCAUUAGUGAGCAAAACUCACUUGGCAAAGCGAAGAUCGGAACACUCCGACGGCGACGCGACGAUAGCUAAAUCCCAAAAUUUCGGUAGUGACGAUAGACACUCGGGCCGGGCCAAGAAACUUUGCAAGCCCGCAGAAAUUCUAGGCUUGGGCCGAACACUAAAAGAAUCUGUUGGACUGGGCUUGAAACAAACUGAACUGGGCCAAGCUUCAAGUGGCGGGCUGAACUUGCGACAAAAUUUAUGGGCUUCUGCAGGGCCUGAAUUCAAGUGGGCCUCAAGCUUGCAAUGGAAUUGGGCCGAAGACAUGGGCCCAACUGUUGGGCCAAACUAUGGACUGGAAAUUCACGACUGAUCGUGCUCACGGGCUGGGCUGCUGAGCUGAGAAGAAGCAGCAAAAGCUGCUGUUGGGCCAAGACACCAAGGAGCGAAGAUGGGCCGAGCAAGAAGACGUGCAGGAGCUGCUGGCGUCGCUCGAGCGUGGAGAAGACCACGCGUGGAGAUGAGAGCUCGAUGGUCUUCGGUGGCCGCUUAAACUAUGCACGUGGAUGGCUGAAGCUCGAGUGGGCUUCGCUGGCUUGCGGGGUCAACCAAAUGGCACCGAUUGAAGACGUCCGGGGGACCGAACUAGGGGCAGGCGCGGUCAAGUGGCAGCAAGCGGACUGGAUUUCUUCGGUUGACUCGCUGGACUGAAGACGUGACCACGGAUUUGCUGCUGGACGCGCGGAGCCGCGUGGAUGAAGACUUCGUGGAGAUGGGAUCGAUGGAGCUGCAGCGAGGUGCACGGAGAAGCUUCGGUGGGGGAUUUGCGAGCAACGGGUCAACAAACGGCAGGCAAAGCAAAAUCGGUUCUGCUGGUUUGACUGGGAAAUAAAACAAAUGAUGGAGGGUGUGGCUUCGAUGGGAUGAAGAACUGGUGACUACAAGAACAGGUGGAGCAGAAAUUGAAGAUGGUGGGGCGGCACAGCUCCAGUCAAGUUGACCAAACGGGGAGGAAGCUCAGACGCGUGGGGCCAAAAAAGGAUGGGGAUUCGGUUUGUGGGCUUCUUCGGCUAAGAAAGAGAGUGAGUGGAGGAGAGAUGAUGAUGGAAUUGCUUCGUUGAUGCUGAAAGGAUGGGGCAGCUGCGGCUUCGAAAGGAAAGAAUGAAAAC
Molecule: long non-coding RNA, 2851 nt
Filed under: Eucalyptus grandis
Lineage: Eukaryota; Viridiplantae; Streptophyta; Magnoliopsida; Myrtales; Myrtaceae
Description: long non-coding RNA (EGRA_LNC001634)
Source: RNAcentral